Molecule: ribosomal RNA, 433 nt
Filed under: uncultured bacterium
Lineage: Bacteria
Description: partial 16S ribosomal RNA
Rfam family: Bacterial small subunit ribosomal RNA
Source: RNAcentral
AGCGAACGCUGGCGGCAGGCCUAACACAUGCAAGUCGAACGAACUCUUCGGAGUUAGUGGCGGACGGGUGAGUAACACGUGGGAACGUGCCUUUAGGUUCGGAAUAACUCAGGGAAACUUGUGCUAAUACCGAAUGUGCCCUUCGGGGGAAAGAUUUAUCGCCUUUAGAGCGGCCCGCGUCUGAUUAGCUAGUUGGUGAGGUAAAGGCUCACUAAGGCGACGAUCAGUAGCUGGUCUGAGAGGAUGAUCAGCCACAUUGGGACUGAGACACGGCCCAAACUCCUACGGGAGGCAGCAGUGGGGAAUCUUGCGCAAUGGGCGAAAGCCUGACGCAGCCAGGCCGCGUGAAUGAUGAAGGUCUUAGGAUUGUAAAAUUCUUUCACCGGGGACGAUAAUGACGGUACCCGGAGAAGAAGCCCCGGCUAACUUCGUG